Molecule: ribosomal RNA, 406 nt
Filed under: uncultured bacterium
Lineage: Bacteria
Description: partial 16S ribosomal RNA
Rfam family: Bacterial small subunit ribosomal RNA
Source: RNAcentral
AUUGAACGCUGGCGGCAGGCUUAACACAUGCAAGUCGAGCGAGCGGCGGACGGGUGAGUAAUGUCUGGGAAACUGCCUGAUGGAGGGGGAUAACUACUGGAAACGGUAGCUAAUACCGCAUACCAUCAGAUGUGCCCAGAUGGGAUUAGCUAGUAGGUGGGGUAAUGGCUCACCUAGGCGACGAUCCCUAGCUGGUCUGCGAGGAUGUUCAGCCACUCUGGGAAUUAUACACGGCCCAUACUCCUACGGGAGGCAGAAGUGGGUAAUAUUGCACAAGGGGCGCAAGCCUGAUGCAGCCAUGCCGCUUGUAUGAAGAAGGCCUUAGGGUUGUAAAGUACUUUCAGCGGGGAGGCGUUACCCGCAGAAGAAGCACCGGCUAACUCCGUGCCAGCAGCCGCGGUAAUAC